UUAGAGUUUGAUCCCAUGGCUCAGAUUGAACGCUGGCGGCAGGCCUAACACAUGCAAGUCGAGCGGCAGCAGGCCCUCCGGGGUGCUGGCGAGCGGCGGACGGGUGAGUAAUGCAUGGGAACUUACCCAGUAGUGGGGGAUAGCCCGGGGAAACCCGGAUUAAUACCGCAUACGCCCUGAGGGGGAAAGCGGGCUCCGGCUCGCGCUAUUGGAUGGGCCCAUGUCGGAUUAGUUUGUUGGUGAGGUAACGGCUUACCAAGGCGACGAUCCGUAGCUGGUCUGAGAGGAUGAUCAGCCACACCGGGACUGAGACACGGCCCGGACUCCUACGGGAGGCAGCAGUGGGGAAUAUUGGACAAUGGGGGCAACCCUGAUCCAGCCAUGCCGCGUGUGUGAAGAAGGCCUUUGGGUUGUAAAGCACUUUCAGCAGGGAGGAAAAGCUGGUCGCUAAUACCGGCCAGUGUUGACGAUACCUGCAGAAGAAGCACCGCAAC
Molecule: ribosomal RNA, 494 nt
Filed under: Salicola salis
Lineage: Bacteria; Pseudomonadati; Pseudomonadota; Gammaproteobacteria; Oceanospirillales; Halomonadaceae
Description: bacterial SSU rRNA
Rfam family: Bacterial small subunit ribosomal RNA
Source: RNAcentral